This 425-nucleotide ribosomal RNA is filed under the name uncultured bacterium. Its description in RNAcentral is "partial 16S ribosomal RNA". It matches the Rfam family "Bacterial small subunit ribosomal RNA", at positions 354 to 796 of the family's 1533-position model. The record is from RNAcentral.
GUGGGGAAUAUUGGACAAUGGGCGCAAGCCUGAUCCAGCCAUGCCGCGUGAGUGAUGAAGGCCUUAGGGUUGUAAAGCUCUUUCAGUGGGGACGAUAAUGACGGUACCCACAGAAGAAGCCCCGGCUAACUUCGUGCCAGCAGCCGCGGUAAUACGAAGGGGGCUAGCGUUGUUCGGAUUUACUGGGCGUAAAGCGCACGUAGGCGGAUCGUUAAGUCGGGGGUGAAAUCCUGGAGCUCAACUCCAGAACUGCCUUCGAUACUGGCGAUCUUGAGUCCGGAAGAGGUGAGUGGAACUCCUAGUGUAGAGGUGGAAUUCGUAGAUAUUAGGAAGAACACCAGUGGCGAAGGCGGCUCACUGGUCCGGUACUGACGCCGAGGUGCGAAAGCGUGGGGAGCAAACAGGAUUAGAUACCCCAGUAGUCC